UUGACCUCAAAUCGGGUGAGACUACCCGCUGAACUUAAGCAUAUCAAUAAGCGGAGGAAAAGAAACUAACANGGAUU
This 77-nucleotide ribosomal RNA is filed under the name uncultured Lactarius. RNAcentral describes it as "partial 28S ribosomal RNA". It matches the Rfam family "Eukaryotic large subunit ribosomal RNA", at positions 1 to 76 of the family's 3401-position model. The record is from RNAcentral. Lineage: Eukaryota; Fungi; Basidiomycota; Agaricomycetes; Russulales; Russulaceae.